AUGCACGCUGGCGGCGUGCCUAAUCCCUGCCAGUCGAGCGCACAGACGAGGAGCUUGCUCCUCUGACGUUAGCGGCGGACGGGUGAGUAACACGUGGAUAACCUACCUAUAAGACUGGGAUAACUUCGGGAAACCGGAGCUAAUACCGGAUAAUAUAUUGAACCGCAUGGUUCAAUAGUGAAAGACGGUUUUGCUGUCACUUAUAGAUGGAUCCGCGCCGCAUUAGCUAGUUGGUAAGGUAACGGCUUACCAAGGCAACGAUGCGUAGCCGACCUGAGAGGGGGAUCCGGCACACUGGAACUGAGACACGGUCCAGACUCCUACGGGAGGCAGCAGUAGGGAAUCUUCCGCAAUGGGCGAAAGCCUGACGGAGCAACGCCGCGUGAGUGAUGAAGGUCUUCGGAUCGUAAAACUCUGUUAUUAGGGAAGAACAAAUGUGUAAGUAACUAUGCACGUCUUGACGGUACCUAAUCAGAAAGCCACGGCUAACUACGUG
RNAcentral lists this ribosomal RNA (496 nucleotides) under uncultured bacterium. RNAcentral's name for it is "partial 16S ribosomal RNA". It matches the Rfam family "Bacterial small subunit ribosomal RNA", at positions 29 to 507 of the family's 1533-position model. The record is from RNAcentral.